Misgurnus anguillicaudatus (oriental weatherfish) is the source of this 2397-nucleotide non-coding RNA. The record is from RefSeq and is a predicted model, not a curated record. NCBI's taxonomy places the organism in Eukaryota, Metazoa, Chordata, Actinopteri, Cypriniformes, Cobitidae.
AGAUGAAGGUGAUUUGAUUUAUUCAGGUAUGGUGUUUGGUGGAGGUUGCUGAACCUUUUUAUACACUCACACAUUAAAAAGUACCUCACCCAUUUAAACAUACUGUUUAUUUAAUGUAUUUAAUAUUUAAAAAUGUCACUUAAACAGAAAGUAUGGAAAAAUUAAAAAUUGUAUAACCUCCUCCACGCUAUAUAUACAGGGUUCCCGCGGGGUCUUAAAAAGUCUUAAAAGCAUUGCAUUUGUUUAUUUGGAAAUAAUACCUUAAAAAGACUUUAAAAAGUCUUGAAUUUUAAUGUCUGGGUCUUAAAAAUUUAAAUAAAAAUUUUAUUAGUAAACCACGUUUAUUUUGAUUAAAUAACGUUGUAUAAAUAAAGAGUGGCGGAUCCAGUAAUUGUGAACGCAACAAAGUUCCGGGUCACAGUACAAAAUAGGCCUACUGCGAACACGUGACGCCUCAGUAAUCACGUGCUACAGCAUCACAACACAACACAGAACAUGACCACAGACCUGAAGCAACAGAGAAGCGCGAAAUAUAAAAAAACUCAGCAUCCCACAGGAAAGGUUGACUGACGGCGUUAUGUUUUUAACGUUUGUUUUACGUUAGCUAGCUACCAAUGUAUUUCGGAGGUUAAGGGGAAAUGUAAAUUUAAUGAAGCGUGGCUGGAUAAAAACUCUUUUCGUCAUUGGUUAAAACCAGUGGACAACAACGUUUUCGAGGCUUUUUGCACCAUAUGCAAAAAGAGGAUUCAGCUAGGUACAAUGGGAAUAAAGGCAUUAGAGUCUCAUGCAAAGUCGUCCAAGCACGUGAACGCUCUCAGUGGACAGAAACAAACUCCUUCCAUCGCCUGCGUGUUUCAACCAACUAAUGUUAGACAGGUAGCUGCUAAUGUGCCUGAAGCGGCAGCAGGAGCUAAUGUUAGCCAGCUUGCUGCUAGCGUUGCAGACCCUCCAGCUACGACUGCAACUAGAGUUUAACUGCGCACAGUUUUUGGGUCCACUCCAACAAUGAAAGCCGAGGUGUUGUGGACUCUCAACACAAUCGCUAAACACCAGUCCUACAAUGGAAAUGAGGGUAUCUCAGAGCUUUUCAAGUGUAUGUUCCCUGACUCCGACAUCGCUAAAACGUUUACUUGCGGUCCCGACAAAACAGCUUACAUGGCCAAGUUUGGUUUAGCUGUUCACAUCAAAGAAGAACUGGUGUCCAAAGUCAACAAAUCGCCGUUCGUUCUAAUGUUUGAUGAGAGUCUCAACGAGACUACGAAAAACAAACAGCUGGAUGUGCACGACCGCUUUUGAAACGAGGGACAGGUUCAGUCCAGAUAUCUGGGGUCUCAGUUUAUGGGACAUUCCACAGCACAAGACCUGCUUUCCCAUCUCAAAGAAUGUAUGGACAGACUGAACCUCAGGGACUUGGUAUCCAUCUCAAUGGAUGGGCCAAAUGUGAAUUGGAAACCCUUCGACCUUUUUCAGAAAGAUCACGCUGAGCAGUAUGGAGGUGCUCAGCUCAUUUGUGUGGGAAGCUGUGGCCUACACACACUACACAACGCAUUUAAGUGUGGGUUCACUGCAUGGCAGCUGGACAAGUUGCUGAAAGCAAUGCACACAUUGUUCCUCAGGGCCCUAUUUUAACGAUCUAAGCGCAUUGUCUAAAGCGCACAGCGCAAGGUCUAAAUGGGCGUGUCCGAAUCCACUUUUGCUAAUUUAAAGGUGCAGUGUGUAAUUUUUAGAAGGAUCUCUUGACAGAAAUGCAAAAUAAUAUACAAAACUACAUUAUCAUGGGUGUAUAAAGACCUUUUAAUAAUAAAUCGUUAUGUUUUUAUUACCUUAGAAUGAGAAGUUUUUAUCUACAUGCACGAGGGUCACCUUACGUGGAAGUCGCCAUUUUGUGCCACCACGUUUCUACAGAAGCCCUGAACGAACAAACUUUUUUGUCUCUGACAAUGACAUGUUUUUUCCGGUGGCGGCUACUGUAGCUUCUCUAUGCGUUUCAAAAGCGAGGGGUGAGCAGUGGGCUGAGCCAUUGGUUGCAAUUCGUAACCUCACCAUUAGAUGCCGCUAAAAUUUACACACUGCACCUUUAACGACGGGAAAAAUAGUUUUUGCACCGAGCGCAUGGUCGAAAAGGGUAGGUCCUAUUGUAAUGGGAGUAUUUUGGGCGUAACGUGCAGUAAACCAAUGAGAGUCACAGCUCUCAUUCCCUUUAAAAGCAAGCUGCGCUGGCACUAUGUCUAAUCCCUAUUUAGAUGACGGACUGAAAAACUAAGCGGAGGUAGAAGAUCCCCAGUUUAAGAUUAAUGUUAAAUAAUUGUGUUGUUUUUCCCUUAUAUUGAAAUUGUUAUUUUUUUAUUAAAACCUUUAAACCCCGUUUUCUUUUAGUCAUGGAAGUAAAAAGCAGGC